UUUGGUGGCUCAACGGUGAGGUCACACCUGAUCUCUUCCCGAACUCAGAAGUUAAGCUCACUAGUGGCGAUGGUAGUCUCUGUCACAGGAGGCGAGAGUAGCUAGCCGCCAGAA
RNAcentral lists this ribosomal RNA (114 nucleotides) under Patescibacteria group bacterium. The record is from RNAcentral.